This is a non-coding RNA of Pelobates cultripes (western spadefoot toad), 433 nucleotides long. The record is from the annotation of a GenBank genome assembly. Lineage: Eukaryota; Metazoa; Chordata; Amphibia; Anura; Pelobatidae.
CUAUUUUUGUAUAUAUACAUAUAUAUAUAUAUAUAUAUAUAUAUAUAUAUAUAUAUAUAUUUUAAUUGGGGUAGCCCCCAAAAUAUUGGGACAUAUAAAAAAAACACAACUCUGUUCCGCAGAGUAGCUGUUGACAUUAUAGUUGCAUUGGAGCUUUGUUGACUCUAGAGAACCUCGGGCAAAUCGCACAUCCCCGUGACGCGACUUUGCAUGCGGAUGUCAUCCAUAUCAACUUUUGAUGCCAAUUUCUGAGCCUACCAUGAUGACCACAGGUAACGGGGAAUCAGGGUUCCAUUCCGUACAGGGACACUGAGAAACGGCUACCACAUGCAAGGAAGGCAGCAGGCGCGCAAAUGACCCACUCCCGACGCGGGAAGGCAGUGACAAUAAAUAACAAUACAGGACUCUUUAGAGGCCCUGUAAUUGUAAUGAG